This 76-nucleotide transfer RNA is filed under the name Bacillota bacterium. Its description in RNAcentral is "tRNA-Gln". It matches the Rfam family "tRNA". Rfam says of the family: Transfer RNA (tRNA) molecules are approximately 80 nucleotides in length. The record is from RNAcentral. Lineage: Bacteria; Bacillati; Bacillota.
AGGGGUGUCGCCAAGCGGUAAGGCACUGGAUUUUGAUUCCAGCAUUUCGUAGGUUCAAAUCCUGCCACCCCUGCCA